RNAcentral lists this long non-coding RNA (380 nucleotides) under Serinus canaria (Common canary). Its description in RNAcentral is "lncRNA (ENSSCAG00000007450.1)". The record is from RNAcentral. Lineage: Eukaryota; Metazoa; Chordata; Aves; Passeriformes; Fringillidae.
GGGAGGUCCAGGAGGAUGGUGUCUGAUGAGAACCGUUUUCUCUGAGAGGCUGCUAUCACAUGCUGGCACAGCCUUCCUCUUGCUGAUGACCGGGUUCCUGUUUGAUCCUGUUUACAAGCUUCCCAAGACUGAAAACAGCCCCAGCUCCUCUGCACUGGCCCUUGGAAGCAGGAGGAAGUAAAGAGGAGCUGAGAAUUGAAGCUGGAGACUGGGCAGCUAAUUCAGAGGCAGCAGUUGUGUGAGCAGCCCCUGGGCAAGAGGACUGAGUGCAGCUGGUGACAGAACUGAGUGGAGAUGAUCCCCAGCUGAAAGCCAGAACAGGAUCUGCUUUCGAGUUCACCGAGCCACCUGCAGUCCCAUUCCAGCCCCUGGCACAGGUA